RNAcentral lists this signal recognition particle RNA (238 nucleotides) under Actinomycetota bacterium. RNAcentral's name for it is "partial signal recognition particle sRNA large type". It matches the Rfam family "Bacterial large signal recognition particle RNA". Rfam says of the family: The signal recognition particle (SRP) is a universally conserved ribonucleoprotein involved in the co-translational targeting of proteins to membranes. Archaeal SRP consists of a 7S RNA and homologues of the eukaryotic SRP19 and SRP54 proteins. The record is from RNAcentral. Lineage: Bacteria; Bacillati; Actinomycetota.
UCGCGCUAGGUGGGGAGCUAGCGGUUCUCUGAACCCGCAAUCCGCUAUAGCGGGGCCGAACACCGCCCGAGGGGCGGAUUCUUCGGGGCCUGGGCUCGCGCACGUGGCGACGACGGUCAGGUUCCGCGCACUGGGAGCAUCCGAACCGCGUCAGAUCCGGGAGGAAGCAGCGCUAAGGAUUCCCUCUCAGGUGCCGCGGCUCCGCCUGACCCGAGCAGGCGACGCGGGUUCCUCCCGG